This 274-nucleotide ribosomal RNA is filed under the name uncultured bacterium. Its description in RNAcentral is "partial 16S ribosomal RNA". It matches the Rfam family "Bacterial small subunit ribosomal RNA", at positions 523 to 796 of the family's 1533-position model. The record is from RNAcentral.
AUACGGAGGGUGCAAGCGUUACUCGGAAUCACUGGGCGUACAGCGCGCGCAGGCGGCUAUUUAAGUUGGAUGUGAAAGCCUAUGGCUCAACCAUCGAACUGCAUCCAAAACUAUUUAGCUAGAGUGUGGGUGAGGAAGAUGGAAUUAGUUGUGUAGGGGUAAAAUCCGUAGAGAUAACUAGGAAUACCAAAAGCGAAGGCAAUCUUCUGGAACACUACUGACGCUGAGGCGCGAAAGCGUGGGGAGCAAACAGGAUUAGAAACCCUAGUAGUCC